RNAcentral lists this long non-coding RNA (927 nucleotides) under Lactuca sativa (garden lettuce). RNAcentral describes it as "long non-coding RNA (LSAT_LNC002367)". Lineage: Eukaryota; Viridiplantae; Streptophyta; Magnoliopsida; Asterales; Asteraceae. The record is from RNAcentral.
GUUCUAGAAAGAAAGCGAAGAGAAAGGGAAGAGGUCAUGCUGCUGGCCAAGGUGGGAGCUGUGGAUUCGGAAUGAGAGGACAGAAAUCUCGGUCGGGACCCGGUGUGCGAAGGGGUUUUGAGGGUGGUCAAAUGCCGCUUUAUCGCCGGCUUCCAAAAUUGAGGGGUAUUGCAGGAGGUAAUAAAAACUUCUUUUCGCAUUCUCUUUCUAGUUCUUCUGAUUAUUUCGGUUGAUUUUACGAGUGAAUUUCCAAGCUUCUGAUACUUGAACUGUGUUUGCCUACCACCUGUUUGAUGAAAUGCCUUUCUGAUACUUGAAUUACUCUAAUGUCCAUUGAAUCAAGGCAUGCAUGCUGGAUUAUCCAAAUUCGUUCCAGUUAACCUAAAAGACAUAGAAACUGCUGGAUUUGAAGAAGGUGAAGAGGUUUCACUAGAAUCCUUGAAAGAAAAGGGCUUGAUCAAUCCCUCAGGAAGAGAAAGAAGACUUCCUCUCAAGGUACCUUCUAUUCAUCCAACAAUGAAAGCGAUUGAAUUUACUAAUAUACCCUCUGAUGGUUUUAUUAGAUUCUUGGUGAUGGUGAACUGAGUGUGAAAUUAAACUUCAAAGCACGUGCCUUUUCUGCACAAGCAAAAGAGAAGCUUGAAGCUGCUGGCUGUUCAUUGACUGUGUUACCUGGCAGAAAGAAAUGGGUCAAACCAUCAGUGGCCAAGAAUAUUGCCCGUGCUGAUGAAUACUUUGCCAAGAAACGGGCGGCAGCUGCUGCAGCUGCUGGUGGUGAGUCGCCGGAAACACCGUCUUCCACCGCUUAAAACCCACGCAAAUGAAAUCGAAUUUUUGUUGUUGUAAGAAGAUUGGAAGUUAGAUGUAAAGCCACAUUGAUUUGUAUUCUGUUUGUCUGGAAUCUUUUUUUAUCAUCAAGAAUCUAAA